This 424-nucleotide ribosomal RNA is filed under the name uncultured bacterium. RNAcentral describes it as "partial 16S ribosomal RNA". It matches the Rfam family "Bacterial small subunit ribosomal RNA", at positions 360 to 776 of the family's 1533-position model. The record is from RNAcentral.
AAUAUUGGACAAUGGGCGCAAGCCUGAUUCAGCCAUGCCGCGUGAGUGAAAAAGGCCUUCGCGUUGUAAAGCUCUUUCGGACGGAAAGAAAUCGUGCAGGCUAAUAUCCUGCGUGUAUGACGGCACCGUCAUAAGAAUCACCGGCUACCUACGUUCCAGCAGCCGCGGUAAUACGUAGGGUGCGAGCGUUAAUCCGAAUUACUGGGCGUAAAGCGUGCGCAGGCGGUUGAUUAAGACAGGCGUGAAAGCCCCGGGCUUAAGCGGGGAACUGCGCUUGUGACUGGUCAGCUAGAGUACGGCAGAGGGGGGUGGAAUUCCACGUGUAGCAGUGAAAUGCGUAGAGAUGUGGAGGAACACCGAUGGCGAAGGCAGCCCCCUGGGCCGAUACUGACGCUCAUGCACGAAAGCGUGGGGAGCAAACAGG